RNAcentral lists this ribosomal RNA (273 nucleotides) under uncultured bacterium. RNAcentral's name for it is "partial 16S ribosomal RNA". It matches the Rfam family "Bacterial small subunit ribosomal RNA", at positions 524 to 796 of the family's 1533-position model. The record is from RNAcentral.
GACGAAGGUGGCAAGCGUUGUUCGGAAUCACUGGGCAUAAAGCGCGCGUAGGCGGCCAAGUCAGUCGGGUGUGAAAGCCCUCGGCUCAACCGAGGAACUGCGCCCGAUACUGCUUGGCUUGAGGGCCGGAGGGGAGAGUGGAAUUCCCGGUGGAGCGGUGAAAUGCGUAGAGAUCGGGAAGAACGCCGGCGGCGAAAGCGACUCUCUGGUCGGUACCUGACGCUGAGGCGCGAAAGCUAGGGGAGCAAACGGGAUUAGAUACCCCCGUAGUCC